This 1388-nucleotide long non-coding RNA is filed under the name Bos indicus x Bos taurus (hybrid cattle). Its description in RNAcentral is "lncRNA (ENSBIXG00005019717.1)". The record is from RNAcentral. Lineage: Eukaryota; Metazoa; Chordata; Mammalia; Artiodactyla; Bovidae.
CUCGAGGAUAAUUCCUUAACCGAAGGGAAAGAAGGGAAGAGCGCCGGGGAGAGCUCGGUCAGUGCUCGGAGGGGGACUGGCCUAGAGCGGUCACUAGAAAGGCGAGGACCCGCGAAACCGAGUAUACACAUUCCCAGCAGCUCUGUCUUUCCAGGCACGCGGAGUAAGUUGGCUGGAACUCCCCGUGACCGCUCAGCCGGGCGUGCAGGGCUGCAGCGGCGCAAAGCCUAUUCCAGAGCGGCCGCAGCGGCGCGGGCAGGAGGGGUACCCAGGUGGGGCCGCGCGCCCUCCGCGGGGGAUAGGUGAUCCCGCUCCCGAGUCCGAGAGGGAGCCAGGUGAGCGUCCGCCCGGGUCCGCCGGUGACCAGAUCCAACAGCACCGAAGGCAAGUUCUGGCUGCCAAGAAGGGAGCUGCAGGGUUGAAGCAUCCUCUCCCAGCCUCCUCCCACAGGACCAAGUCCUCACCAUCAGUUUUCUCUGUCUUUAAAAAACAACUUUUUUCUUUAUAUAUAUAUAUAUUUCAUUGAAGUAUAAUUGACUUACAAUGUUUCAAGUGCACAGCAAGGUGAUUCAGUUAUAAAUAUACACACAAUAUAAAUAUACAUAUAAAUAUACACAUAUAAAUAUAUACAUAUCAGAGAAGGCAAUGGCACCCCACUCCAGUACUUUUGCCUGGAAUAUCCCAUGGAUGGAGCCUGGUGGGCUGCAGUCCAUGGGGUCGCUAAGAGUUGGAUACAACUGAGUGACUUCACUUUCACUUUUCACUUUCAUGCAUUGGAGAAGGAAAUGGCAACCCAGUCCAGUGUUCUUGCCUGGAGAAUCCCAGGGACGGGGGAGCCUGGUGGGCUGCCGUCUGUGGGGUUGCACAGAGUCGGACACGACUAAAGUGACUUAGAAGCAGCAGCAGCAUACACAUAUAUUAUUUUUCAGAUUAUUUUCCAUAAUAGGUUAUUAUACGAUAUUGACUGCAGUUCCCUGUAAUAUACAGUAAACUUUUGUUGCUUGUUGCAUAUCUUUUUUUUUAAUUAGAAAUCUAACAAGGUAUCAUUUAUAUGCCACAAAAAUAUCUGUUUUAAGUGUACAAUUCAAUGGUAUUUAGUACAUUUAAAGAGUUGUACAUAUCCUGUAAUCUAAUUUUAGAAUAUAUCCAUCAUCCCCCCCAGAAAGAAGCCUCCUGUGCAUUUGUGUUCAGACCCAAUUCUUACCCCCAGGCCCAGGCAACCACUGAUCUGCUUUCUGUCUGAACAGUUUUAUAUGCGGAUGAAACAGGGGAUGUCUUGCAAACAGUAUCUGCUGGGCACUUGGGAUGAAGCAAAACACAGACCAGUUGACUAUUUUUCAUAGUCUCAGAAAAAUAAAAAAAUUCAGUAACUUUAAGGUAUAAUAAUU